Molecule: transfer RNA, 77 nt
Filed under: Lentisphaerota bacterium
Lineage: Bacteria; Pseudomonadati; Lentisphaerota
Also listed under: 2 other names
Description: Lentisphaerae bacterium tRNA-Arg
Rfam family: tRNA
About the family: Transfer RNA (tRNA) molecules are approximately 80 nucleotides in length. Their secondary structure includes four short double-helical elements and three loops (D, anti-codon, and T loops). Further hydrogen bonds mediate the characteristic L-shaped molecular structure. tRNAs have two regions of fundamental functional importance: the anti-codon, which is responsible for specific mRNA codon recognition, and the 3' end, to which the tRNAs corresponding amino acid is attached (by aminoacyl-tRNA synthetases). tRNAs cope with the degeneracy of the genetic code in two manners: having more than one tRNA (with a specific anti-codon) for a particular amino acid; and 'wobble' base-pairing, i.e. permitting non-standard base-pairing at the 3rd anti-codon position.
Source: RNAcentral
GCGCCUGUAGCUCAACUGGAUAGAGUGUCGGCCUCCGAAGCCGAAGGUUGUGGGUUCGACCCCCGCCAGGCGCACCA